UCCACGCUGUAAACGAUGAUCACUCGUUGUUUGCGAUAUAUUGUAAGCGACUGAGCGAAAGCAUUAAGUGAUCCACCUGGGGAGUACGUUGGCAACAAUGAAACUCAAAGGAAUUGACGGGGGCCCGCACAAGCGGAGGAACAUGUGGUUUAAUUCGAUGAUACGCGAGGAACCUUACCUGGGUUUAAAUGUAAGUUGCAUGAUUGGGAAACUGAUCUUUCCUUCGGGACUACUUACAAGGUGCUGCAUGGUUGUCGUCAGCUCGUGCCGUGAGGUGUCGGGUUAAGUCCCAUAACGAGCGCAACCCCUAUCGUUAGUUGCC
This 322-nucleotide ribosomal RNA is filed under the name uncultured bacterium. Its description in RNAcentral is "bacterial SSU rRNA". It matches the Rfam family "Bacterial small subunit ribosomal RNA", at positions 794 to 1119 of the family's 1533-position model. The record is from RNAcentral.